This is a long non-coding RNA of Canis lupus familiaris (dog), 1587 nucleotides long. RefSeq lists it as uncharacterized. The record is from RefSeq and is a predicted model, not a curated record. Lineage: Eukaryota; Metazoa; Chordata; Mammalia; Carnivora; Canidae. The transcript is spliced from 3 exons.
UCUAUUCAUCGCAGGUGGGCUGCAGAGGGGGGAACAGGACUGGUGGAAGAAAGCCGAGAAGCCAGUACAGAGCUUGUGGAAAAUCCAGAUACUAGGGAUGUGGGCCUGGAAUUUCGGCAAGCAGUCUAGCUGGAAGGUCGGGAAUCUUCUUCCUCCUAUGGAAGCGAGCUCAAUCCAGCCAGCCUGUCUGGGGCCCCUCCUCAGCGCGAUGGCACUGUUUUCCCUGCUCUAGGAAAGCCCUGGUUAAAAACACCCGGUUUCCAAGGCCACCUUGCCUUGCGUGUGCUACAGGCCAAGCCAAGCAAGCACCCAGCGCUAAGCACACUACCGGGAAAACAAGCCGGCAGGGUCUCUGUUGUAUAAACCCGGGACGUCUGGGGGUCCACAAAGAGGCCUUGUAAACGAAUCCAGGCCCCGGGUGAUAGGGAAACCCAGACGGCCGCCCUGACCCGUUUCUAUCGGGCUCAAGCGCCACUCCAGAGACAUUCCAGAACCCUUUAACGAGACAGCCAGACCUGGCUCCUGUUUCCUGGUCACAGAGAGCUGCAGGCCUCACUUGCUUGGGCCACAUCCAGUCCCGCAAGACCAGCCUCGCGCCAGGAGGGGUUCAGCCCGAGGACUCCGCAGUAGACGCCACGAGCGCAGCAAGGGUGACAAAAGGCAACGGGACCCCGUGAGAGGUGAAGGGGGUGCUGGAGUCGGGCACACCCCCACAUAAAGCUCCCCCGGUGCCUGGCUGUGGAAGGUGCUGGAAAAACGUCAGCACCCACCUGCCUGCCUUCUAACAGUCCUUUGCCUGGAGUCAGAGAAUUAAAGGGACCCCUUUGUCCACUUGGAUGCUGAGAAGACACCGAGGAUGCUCAGGUCAGACCACCUCUGGUCUCGUGGUGUGGGGCCCUGAGCAGCACCCACGCCCCCAAAAGCAGUCAACCUCUCCCUCCUCAGCACCACCCCUUCAGCCGGGGCACACUCUGCUGUUUUCCUGGUCCCACUGGACUACGAGGAUCUGUUUGGUGUCAGUCUCUAGGACCAGGAAAGACUUCGUUGAGGACAGGGAUUGGAGUCUCUGGACUUCUCAGAACCUUGGUUCCUGUAUCGAAUGGCCUCAACUUUCAGGAGCACAGCCAUCCACACAGCCUGUCUAUGCAUCUGAUUUAUUCUGACCCUCAUGACUACCUCAAGGGAUCAUUAUUCAGCUCAUUUCUAGACAUUUCUGCAGACACCUACUGUGUGCUAGACAAUGUUCCAGAAGAGGAAGAGAGGCUAAAAGAAGAAACUAGCCCUCCCCCCCCUUGAGAAGCAUUCAGUCCACGUAGGGUAGUCUAUUCUGUUUCUCAGACAAGGAAACCAAGGCUCAGAGAAGCUAAGUGUGUAAAAUAACAUAGCUGAUUAGUGACAUCUUGCCCACUGACCUGACACACAGGAAUCAUCUGAAAAAGAUGAUCAACGAAGCUAAGGUACUUCAAAACCUUUAUAUGAGUCUAACUCGGAAUGCCCAUAUGGGGACAAAAAAAAGAAAUAACACAAUCCAGGCUCAUCUCCUCUCCCACCUUGCUGUGUUAUCUGUAAUGUUCUACUUAAAAGUCA